This is a long non-coding RNA of Oncorhynchus masou masou (cherry salmon), 512 nucleotides long. RefSeq lists it as uncharacterized. The record is from RefSeq and is a predicted model, not a curated record. Lineage: Eukaryota; Metazoa; Chordata; Actinopteri; Salmoniformes; Salmonidae. The transcript is spliced from 3 exons.
CAAGUGGAGAUACUGGGGUGCCAAAGAGCAGAGGGAUAAGUAACAAUAUGGGGAUGAGGUAGUGGGGUGUGCUGUUUACAGAUUGGCUGUGUACGUUCAGGCACAGUGAUUGGUAAAGGAAGUGUUGGCUUUGGGGAUGACCAGUGAAAUAUACCUGCUGGAGCGCUUGCUACCGGUGGGUGUUGCAUACACACCCACACACAGGUCCAGAGGAAGAGAGACAGAGAGAGCCUGAGAUUUCAUUAAAGGGCUUCCAAAUCCACAGCUCGUAACUUGAUGCAACCAGAGGGCAGAGGAAGAGAGACAGAAGACCAGAGGAAGAGCUGUCAUUAGUUGAAGGUGGGACGUGCUGUAUCAGGAAUAUGGUACCCACGAUAAGACAGCUCAGACCAAACAGCACUCCGAUGAAGCCCCACCCUUUUCCCGGGAAAUAUAUCACAUCACUUCACUUCUAUGAACGCUCACAGCUGGGGAAAAGUCGGGUAUAAGGGAAUCUUCAAUAGGAGUUUGAC